Molecule: ribosomal RNA, 253 nt
Filed under: uncultured bacterium
Lineage: Bacteria
Description: partial 16S ribosomal RNA
Rfam family: Bacterial small subunit ribosomal RNA
Source: RNAcentral
UACGGAGGGUGCAAGCGUUAUCCGGAUUUACUGGGUUUAAAGGGUGCGUAGGUGGGUUUGUAAGUCAGUGGUGAAAUCUCCGGGCUUAACUCGGAAACUGCCAUUGAUACUAUAGAUCUUGAAUUAUCUGGAGGUAAGCGGAAUAUGUCAUGUAGCGGUGAAAUGCUUAGAUAUGACAUAGAACACCAAUUGCGAAGGCAGCUUACUACGGAUAUAUUGACACUGAGGCACGAAAGCGUGGGGAUCAAACAGG